CGUAAGCGCGGCGCAGGCGGUUUCUUAGGUCUGAUGUGAAAGCCCCCGGCUCAACCGAGGGAGGGUCAUUGGAAACGUGGGUGAACUUGAGUGCAGAAGAGGAGAAUGGAAUUCCACGUGUAGCGGUGAAAUGCGUAGAGAUGUGGAGGAACACCAGUGGCGAAGGCGACUCUCUGGUCUGUAACUGACGCUGAGGCGCGAAAGCGUGGGGAGCGAACAGGAUUAGAUACCCUGGUAGUCCACGCCGUAAACGAUGAGUGCUAAGUGUUAGAGGGUUUCCGCCCUUUAGUGCUGCAGCAAACGCAUUAAGCACUCCGCCUGGGGAGUACGGUCGCAAGACUGAAACUCAAAGGAAUUGACGGGGGCCCGCACAAGCGGUGGAGCAUGUGGUUUAAUUCGAAGCAACGCGAAGAACCUUACCAGGUCUUGACAUCCUCUGACAACCCUAGAGAUAGGGCUUCCCCUUCGGGGGCAGAGUGACAGGUGGUGCAUGGUUGUCGUCAGCUCGUGUCGUGAGAUGUUGGGUUAAGUCCCGCAACGAGCGCAACCCUUGAUCUUAGUUGCCAGCAUUCAGUUGGGCACUCUAAGGUGACUGCCGGUGACAAACCGGAGGAAGGUGGGGAUGACGUCAAAUCAUCAUGCCCCUUAUGACCUGGGCUACACACGUGCUACAAUGGGCAGAACAAAGGGCAGCGAAGCCGCGAGGCUAAGCCAAUCCCACAAAUCUGUUCUCAGUUCGGAUCGCAGUCUGCAACUCGACUGCGUGAAGCUGGAAUCGCUAGUAAUCGCGGAUCAGCAUGCCGCGGGUGGAAUACGUUCCCGGGCCUUGUACACACCGCCCGUCACACCACGAGAGUUUGUAACACCCGAAGUCGGUGAGGU
RNAcentral lists this ribosomal RNA (882 nucleotides) under Bacillus licheniformis. Its description in RNAcentral is "bacterial SSU rRNA". It matches the Rfam family "Bacterial small subunit ribosomal RNA", at positions 559 to 1436 of the family's 1533-position model. Lineage: Bacteria; Bacillati; Bacillota; Bacilli; Caryophanales; Bacillaceae. The record is from RNAcentral.